Molecule: long non-coding RNA, 418 nt
Filed under: Ananas comosus (pineapple)
Lineage: Eukaryota; Viridiplantae; Streptophyta; Magnoliopsida; Poales; Bromeliaceae
Description: long non-coding RNA (ACOM_LNC000372)
Source: RNAcentral
UUCGAACCUGUUGCGUUUCGUAUCCACGUUGUUAGUGCGCAUUUGAUACGCGGAUAGAUUAGGAGCUGUAGUUUAUUUGUAUCGCCGCAGUUUGUUGGCAGUCAAUACCGAGAAUAGUGUAGAAUACAGUUACGCUCGUGCUGGGAUGCUGAGCUUACUUUUACAGCAGUGUUUAGACUGUUUCGGACUGUCGGGUGCCGUUAAGGUUGACGUAGACCCAGAUUGCUGUUUUUACAUCAGAUUGUACCGAGAGCACGUGAGUUUGGGUGUUAGACCCUAUUUACUUGAUUAUAGCCUGUGAGAGCCUGAUUGAGCUCGACAGAGAUACGCUUGCAUAUUCGGUUGGGUAGCGCCUACGAGUGCCAUUCCGGAGUCGUGCUUUGUGCAUUUACGUUGGUGUCGUUGUGUCCUGGUUGGA